Molecule: long non-coding RNA, 1734 nt
Organism: Gallus gallus (chicken)
Lineage: Eukaryota; Metazoa; Chordata; Aves; Galliformes; Phasianidae
Source: Ensembl
AUCUCUCUCUGGAGAUCACUCCUCUUGGCACCCUUUCUGCAAGUUCAGGCUAUGGGCUGUACAGCCCCAGUUCUCCCAGCCUGUCCUCGUAGGGGAAGAGUUCCAUCCCUUGGAACAUUUUUGUGGCCCUCCUCUGGAUGUGUUCCAACAGUUCUAUGUCUCUCCUGUGAUGAAGACUCCACAUCUGGGUGUAGUACUCAGAAUGAUUUGGUUGAAGAGGUGGGGUGCACUGAGCAAAACUGCUGAUGACACAAACUAGAAGAAGUUACUGAUACACCAGACAGCUGUGCUGCCAUGCAAAGGGACCUGAACAAGCUGUAGAAAUGGGCCAAUAGGAACCUCAUGAAGUUCAACAAGAUGAAAUGCGGAGUUGUGCACCUGGGGAGGAGAAACCCAAGACACCAGGACUUACUGAGGACUCCUGGCUGGAAAACACCAUGACAGUAGAGGAUCUGUGCAACCUGGUGGACACCAAAUUUAACAUGAGCCAGCAAUGGGAUCUGAUGGAAAAGAAGGCUAAAGGUAUACCAGACUACAGUAGGAAAAGCAUCACUGGCAGGUCAAGAGAGGUGACCUUUCCCCUCUACUCAGAACUGGAGAGACCAUACCUGCAAUAAAGUGUCAAGUUCUGGGCUCCCCAGUACUAGAAAGACAUCAACAUACUGGAGAGAAUUCAGUGCAGGGCCAAGAAGAUGACUAAGGGACUGGAGUAUUCCUUGUAUGAGGAAAUGCUGAAAGAGCUGGGACUGUCCAGCCUAGAAGAGGGAAAGCUAAAUGAAAAUGUUACCAAUUCAUAUAGAAUAUUAAUAGAAAGGUGCAAAAAGUAUGAAGUGAGGCUCUUUUCAGCUGUUCUCAGUGACACUGCUGGGUACUGGGUGCAAACUGAAACAGUAGGUGCCAUCUGGACAUCAGGAAACAUUUUUCACUGUAACGGCAACAGAGCAAUAAAACAGUGUGCCUAGAGAGUAAACCAAUGUUCUGGUUGCUGUUGAGUGAAUGCCUCCGUGGCAGGGAAGGGACACUGCCAUUAUGGUGCAGCAAUAAGCCACAGAGCAGGGAGGAAGGGGAAGAGGGGGAGUUUCAGAGAUAGGACAGCUGACCUGAAUUAGACAAAGGGUUAUUCCGUACCAUCUGACAUCACACAAAAGAUCAUAAAGCUGUGGGGAGUUAGUGGGGAACAGCCACUGCUCAGGGAUUGGUGGACGUUUAUCAGUGGUUGUAAGACAUUGCAUUGCUGGUGUGUAGUUAGUCUCUGCCUCAUUCCACUGUGGGGAAUGAGUGAACAGUUUUGUGGUGCUUAGCUGCAUGCCAGGUUAAACCACAACAGGAAUUCAAGUUUUUGCUUUAUUGUCUAAGGUAUUGAGCAUAUGAUAUCAGUGCUUUCUCUACAUUAUACGUUCAGCUGUUUCCCUUGCAUUUAUUGGAUAUUUUUCUUAACUACCAUGUAAAUUUUCAAGGGUUAUUCCCAUAUUCCCACAAAGUAUAAACCUGUUAUAAAGCUCGCUGAAGACAGCAGGGCCCGAAGUGACCAGAUAAUCUCUUUUCCACACUUGUGUUCUACUCAUGAAUAUAAUAGCUCAAGAACAGUAAAAGAACAGAAUGAAGACAAGGACAAAAAGAUUAUAUGGGCACUUGGGAGGUUAAUGCAUGUGGUUCUGCUUUUUUCAGAAGCUAAUACAUAAUUAUUUUCUUCAAUUAGAUGAAAUCAGCUUAACUAAUCAAUUACUGGAAAAA